RNAcentral lists this long non-coding RNA (4603 nucleotides) under Homo sapiens (human). RNAcentral's name for it is "HSALNT0304390". Lineage: Eukaryota; Metazoa; Chordata; Mammalia; Primates; Hominidae. The record is from RNAcentral.
ACAGGCUGGUUGGCGAUGAUGUCGUAGGACUCCAUGGCCGGGCCGCGCCGGCCCUGCCCAGCAGGCGGGCUGCAGGAGGCACCGGAUGGGCGGGCGGGCGGGAGGACCGGGACGGCGGCGGCUCCCGACGCGGCGCCGCUGCCCUCCCUCCCCGAGCCUGCAGCCUACGCGAGCCCCGCGGGGCUUUCUGGAGGGCGGGCCCGGCGGCCAAUCAUCGCUCCCACCUGGCCCGAUUGACAGCAGGUGCCCGGGGCUGGCUGCGCGAAGGGGGCGGGGCCUCCGGAGGCUGGCCAGCCAAUUGAGGUCGUCCGGAAAAAAGUGGUCGCGGCGUUGCCAAGGGUCUCACCUUGUUGCCCAAGCUGGAGUGCAGUUGCCUGAUAUCAGCUCACUGCAACCUCCACCUCCCAGGCUCAAGCUAUCCUCCUGCCUCAGCCUUCCAAGUAGCUGGGACCACAGGUGUGCACCAUCACGCCCAGACUAUGUGAAAAUGAGCUUAGCCCCUGGUGUUGUGUUGGAACUUCAGAUGCUUGCAGACACUUCAUGAAUGCUCUGUGACACUCAGAAUAGGCUAUUCCCAACAGAAGAGCUUGAACAAUGCUGCAUUUGCAUCAGGUUCAAAUGAGCGAGAGGAACAUUUGGCUAAAAUAUUUGGAACCAGCAUUGCUUGGAAUUCUCCUAAACCAGAAUAUUUCCUUGGCAGUGUGGACAAAAUUCCUGAUAAAGAUCACCUUUCAGAGGAGAAGAAUUUUAAAGAAUCCUGUCUGUUCGACAGGGAUUUAAGAGAGCAGUUAACUACUAUAGAUAAAGAAACACUUCAAGGAGCAGCUAAACCAGAUGCUCACUUUAGGACUAUGCCCUGCGGGCAGCUUCUGCACUUCCUGCAGAGGAACACCAUCAUCGCCGCCGUCUCAGGGGUGGCCAUCCUCAUGGCCAUCGUGCUGUUGCUGCUUGGGUUGGCCUCAUACAUCAGGAAGAAACAGCCAUCGUGCGUGGUGCUGGCAUAACCUUCCUUCCAAGAACCCGCGGGUGUUAGAACUCACGCUGCCCUCAGGGCUUCCUGCUGAUCUGGUUUACGAGGAGGGCAGAAGCUGCAAGCCUGGUUGUGCUUCAGCAUCCCCUGGCCUGCUCUGUCAAAGCACACAGGACCUGGGCCAUGGGUUUUCGGCACAGCCUGGGUGAUUCUGAUGCACAGCCGGGUUUGGGGAUCCCUGGGUGGGCCAGGGUUGCCUCUCAAGGCCACUACGGUUAGGCCAGACCUGUCCCCAUAUUGAGGGCUCUGGCUGAAAGAUUGGUAAAUAGGAAUAUGGAUUUACAAAAGAAAGGAAAAAUACAAAUCUAAGAGGGUGAGGAGGGCUGAAGCCACGAAGGAGAGUGAGAGCAGGGCUGAUAUUCAGCUCCUUCACAUUGGCACAGCUGUCCUGCUUGUUAGAAUACUGAAAGCCUUCCCCGAGCUUCCCACUGACCUCCUGAUCUUCUCCGUGAUCCUGCAAAUGAAGGAUUAGUGCCUGGCACAGCCGUGGCCCUCCAAGGCUCUGCUUCAGUGGUGGUCAUUUUGACUGGUCAGUGCCUGUCUACACCCCCGUCUACACCAGUUGUUAAAUAUUUUGGUUAGGCCUCUAGAUGAGGGGGCUCAGGCACAGAGGCACUCACCAUGAGCAGGCGCUAGGAAGCAAAUGGUUUGCACGAUGACGUGUAUGCAUAGCUGCAUUUUGAAAUUACGUGCUUCUUGCUGCGUCCCCAGGGACAUGUAUUCCUGACCACAGAAGGAAGAGCAGCUCCCCACAGCCCUUCAGUCCUGCCUGACACUGCACUGAAUGCUCAGCUUGCCCCUAGAGCAAUGGGGUGGAGGUGUGUGUUGAGGGGAAGUGUCCAUCCCCACCCCUACCCACCCUCUGACUCCAGAGGUAGCAGUGUUUGAAUUUCCCCACAAGAGUGGCAUUGCUUUCUCUCCAUGCCAAGGCUCCUGGAACUGGUGACUUAUUCAGGCCACCUCCCCCAACCCCCACCUCCAGCAUCCUCUUCCUACCAAGGCUCAUCCAUUGGACCUGCCAUUUUCCCUCCAUGCCCCUUGAGAUGCCAGCAGAAGUGGUCAGAACUGUGGCCCCUCCCAUAGGGACCAGUCAAAGUUGUGGGUGGCCUGAGUUAGUUAAGAGAAACUGGGGGGAAGAGAGUAUCCCAGAGGCUCUGUGCUGCCCAGAGGCAAAAAGAAUUUCACAGAUGACAAACCUUACUGAUGGGAAGCAGAAUCCUCACGCUGGGAAGCGUCAGCCUCCACCACUGCCCAGCGAGUAGACAGCAGGACUCCUGUGCGCUGAGCUGAGCACUGUGGUUUUUGUUAUUUUGUUUUAGAUCUCCUCUGGCAAACACGACAUAUAAUAUUUUUAUAAUGGAUGGAAAGACAUGGUGGCACAAUUCUGAAGAAAAAAAUUUCACAAAACUUGCAAAAAAACAGAAACAGUUGAAGAGCAGCUCCUGUGUCUAAGCCAGGUCGUGGGGCCGUCAAACCAGGACUUGAAACCACAAUGCGAGGACAUUCUCCAUCUGCGCACCACAGGGAGGCAAUUCCAUUUCUGCCCGGGAGGUGUAUUCUACAAAAACGUCUGCUUCCCAUCCCAAUUUGAAUGGACCAAGAAAAACUGCUUUACCAUAGGACACUUGUGGCAAUAUGGCACCGAUGGCUGGCGUCGGUGAACCCGACAGACUAUGGAUUUAUCAUUUAAUAAAGCAUUGAUUCAUUUUUUCAGUCAUUCAUUGAACAGAUAUUAAUAGACCACCUCACAUGCUGACAAUAUCAAAAUACAAUGAGGAAACUAACAGUGACCCAGGCAUGCAUUCUUCCCCGAGCAAGAUCACAGUCCAUGGUGUGAGCACAACCAUACUAAAUAGCUUUUAUGGGAGGUGGGAGUACAGAAAGUAUUAUAUCUGCAAAGAAACUGCUAAGAAUUGUGGGAGCGCCCCAGGAGGUGAUUUCCUGCUUGCGUGACCAGCACAAAGAAAUGGGGUAAUUGAGAGUGUCAUGAAGUGGGGUUAUUUAUUUAUUGAGUCGGAGUCUUGCUCUGUCACCCAUGCUGGAGUGCAGUGGCGUGAUCUCAGCUCACUGCAACCUCCGCCUCCCGGGUUCAAGCGAUUCUCCUGCCUCAGCCUCCCGAGUAGCUGGGAUUAUAGGUGCGUGCCACCACACCCAGCUAAUUUUUGUAUUUUUAGUAGAGAUGGAGUUUCACCAUGUUGGCCAGGCUGCUCUCAAACUCCUGACCUCAGGUGAUCCCCCCGCCUUGGCCUCUCAAAGUGCUGGGAUUAUAGGCAUGAGCCACCAUGCCCGGCCCAUAGAAGUUUUCAGUUCAUUUAUGCACAGUUUAAGCUGAGAAUGUGAAAGGCUAAACUCAUCCCUUUCUUUCCCCACUUUCUCCAGCAACCAGCCAAUAUCAUACUCCUCAGUUUAAUUAAAAUGUUCUCAGAUAUCAUCAAACACGUGGGCACCCAGAACCUUGCCUUUUAUAUGUGUUUGAUUGAGAGUAUCCAAUGGUAAUAUUUUGUAUAUCUCUAUUGCCACAUCAUGCCAUGGAGUACCUAAAUGCCCUCUUGGCCACUGGAAAUAGAUUUAAGAUUCUGUUCCUCUCUUCUAGUACCAAAAUUUGGAUGAGUCAGGGUCCCAUGAGAGAAACAGAACUAGUAGGAGGAUAUAUAGAGUAGUAAGAGAUUUUUUUAACUUUUAAUUUUUGUGGGUACAUAGUAGGGGUAUGUAUUUAUGGGGUACACGAGAUAUUUUGAUACAGGCAUGCCAUGCAUAAUAAUCACGUGAGGGUGAAUGGAGUAUCCAAAACCUGGUGCAUUUAUCCUUCAUGUUAUAAACAAUCCAAUUAUGUUCUUUUAGUUAUUUUUAAGGUGCAAUUAAAUUACUAUUGACUGUGGUCCCCCUACUGUGCUAUCAAAUACUAGGUCUUAUUCAUUCUUUUAUUUUUUGUACCUAUUAACCAUCCUUACAUCUCCCCCACCCCCACUACUCUUCCCAGCCUCUGGUAACCACCCUUCUACUCUCUAUCUCCAUGAAUUCAAUUGUUUUAAUUCUUAGCUCUCAGAAAUGAUGAGCGCAUGCAAAGUUUGUCUUUCUGUGCCUGGCUUAUUUCACUCAACAUAAUGACUUCCAGUUCCAUCUAUGUUGGUGCAAAUGACCAUUUUUUGAAUGGCUGAAUAGUACUCCAUUGUGUAAAUGUACCACAUUUCCUCAUCCAUUCAUCUGUUGAUAGACUGUUGUUAGGUUGUUUCCAGAUCUUGGCUAUUGUGAAUAGUGCUGCAAUAAACAUGAGAGUGCAGAUAUCUCUUUUAUACACUGAUUUCCCUUCUUUUGAGUAUAUACACAGCAGUGGGAUUGCUGGAUUGUAUGGUAGCUCUAUUUUUAGUUUUUUGAGGAACCUCCAAACUGUUCUCCAUAGUGGUUGUACUAACGUACAUUCCAUACAUUAGCAAUAAUGUAUGAGAGUUCCCUUUUCUCCACAUCCUCGCCAGCACUUGUUAUUGCCUAUCUACUGGAUAUAAGGGACAAUUCUUCUCUAGAGCCUCUGAGGGGCCUGCAGCCCUGCUAACACCUCGGUUUCAGACUCUGGCC